This 254-nucleotide ribosomal RNA is filed under the name uncultured bacterium. Its description in RNAcentral is "partial 16S ribosomal RNA". It matches the Rfam family "Bacterial small subunit ribosomal RNA", at positions 524 to 777 of the family's 1533-position model. The record is from RNAcentral.
UACGAAGGGGGCGAGCGUUGUUCGGAUUUACUGGGCGUAAAGGGCGCGCAGGCGGCGAGUUUUGUCAGGCGUGAAAGCCCCGGGCUCAACCUGGGAAUUGCGCUUGAAACGGGCUUGCUAGAGAUCGGGAGAGGAGAGUGGAAUUCCCAGUGUAGAGGUGAAAUUCGUAGAUAUUGGGAAGAACACCGGUGGCGAAGGCGGCUCUCUGGACCGAUACUGACGCUGAGGCGCGAAAGCGUGGGGAGCAAACAGGG